Molecule: long non-coding RNA, 672 nt
Organism: Bos taurus (domestic cattle)
Lineage: Eukaryota; Metazoa; Chordata; Mammalia; Artiodactyla; Bovidae
Source: Ensembl
UCUUAGCUGAGAGGGUUCCCCUGUCUUGAACUCUCAUAGUCCCUUGAACUUCCUUUUCUCUUUGCACUCAGCAUUUGUGGUGGUAUUAGAAACAGAGAGAAGAGGAUAAGUUACAGAGAGAUUGAAGAGGUAGAAUUGCUAGGACUCAUUGAUUAGAAAUUUUAGAAGAGGACCAGUUUAUGGGGCAAAAGAUGAAGAUUUUGGACACAGUGAGUUUGAGGUACUCAUGAACCAUCGGGUGGAAAGGUCUAGGAGGAAGCUGAGCAAUCUUAUCUCAACAUUUCCUCCUGCAUUCUCUGCUCUCUCCAGCACCAUCAUGCAUUUCCUCUAUGCUGGAACCACACCUAAUCAUCCCCAGCACCAUGGUCUUUUUCAUUGAGUUGGCUCUUCACAUCUGGUGGCCAAAGUAUUGAAGCUUCAGCUUCAGCAAAAGUGGUUAAGCAUCUGCCUGCCAAAGCCUGGAUUUGAUCCCUGGUCUUAGAAGAUCUCACAUGCUGUGAAGCAGCUAAGCUCAUCUACCACAACUACUGAAGCCUGAGUGCCCUAGAGCCCAUACUCUACAACAUACUCUACAGUGAAGCCACCACAAGGAGAAGCCUUGAGAGCAGCCCCUGCUCACCGCAACUAGUAAAAGCCUGUGUUCAGCAACGAAGACCCAGAACAGUCAAUAAA